UGCUCUCUCGUCUAACUGGCAGGACACCAGAAUCUGACUCUGGCAGUUGAGGUUCGAAUCCUUGGGGAGCAA
RNAcentral lists this transfer RNA (72 nucleotides) under Mycobacterium phage Bongo. It matches the Rfam family "tRNA". From Rfam's summary of the family: Transfer RNA (tRNA) molecules are approximately 80 nucleotides in length. Their secondary structure includes four short double-helical elements and three loops (D, anti-codon, and T loops). Further hydrogen bonds mediate the characteristic L-shaped molecular structure. tRNAs have two regions of fundamental functional importance: the anti-codon, which is responsible for specific mRNA codon recognition, and the 3' end, to which the tRNAs corresponding amino acid is attached (by aminoacyl-tRNA synthetases). tRNAs cope with the degeneracy of the genetic code in two manners: having more than one tRNA (with a specific anti-codon) for a particular amino acid; and 'wobble' base-pairing, i.e. permitting non-standard base-pairing at the 3rd anti-codon position. Lineage: Duplodnaviria; Heunggongvirae; Uroviricota; Caudoviricetes; Vilmaviridae. The record is from Rfam by way of RNAcentral. RNAcentral also lists the same sequence under 1 other name.